GCCCAGGUGGCGGAACUGGUAGACGCACAGGACUUAAAAUCCUGCGGAUAGUGAUAUCCGUGCCGGUUCGAUUCCGGCUCUGGGCACCA
RNAcentral lists this transfer RNA (89 nucleotides) under Bacilli bacterium. RNAcentral describes it as "tRNA-Leu". It matches the Rfam family "tRNA". Rfam says of the family: Transfer RNA (tRNA) molecules are approximately 80 nucleotides in length. Lineage: Bacteria; Bacillati; Bacillota; Bacilli. RNAcentral also lists the same sequence under 2 other names. The record is from RNAcentral.